Non-coding RNA from Heterocephalus glaber (naked mole-rat), 2007 nucleotides. The record is from RefSeq and is a predicted model, not a curated record. Lineage: Eukaryota; Metazoa; Chordata; Mammalia; Rodentia; Bathyergidae.
CUCGCCGCCAUUUUAGAUGAGGGCAGAAGCACUUUCGCCCUGGGACUGUGUUUGUUCAGGGCUUCCAGGGCCAAGCCGAUUGGCUCUGGGCUAUGGCCGGCGGAAGUGAUCGCGUACUUGCUAGCCCACACUCUUAUCUUCCUGGGCCAGGUGGAUUCUUUCCUCGUCAGAGACAUGCUGAGCUCCAACCUUCUCUCAGUUAUCAGCUGCGUAAACAAGACUGUGUCCGGAUCAAGAAGAGUUGCUGAGAGGAACACAGGACCAAGUUAGUGAGCAGAGCCCCAAGAGGGCUGGGAUUACAGGUAUAAACCACCACACCCGGCUUGAACACACUCUUAAAGCAAAGGAAUCCAUCUAUUAGAGAUCAUUUCCCACAACCUCAGUAGGUAUGGCUAAUUACCUAGUACUUUAUUUCCUCCAGAAGGAAAAUGAAACCAGCAGUUAUAAAGAUGCCAUAUUCUCCCUCAUAUGACGCCCACCCUUAGGACUAUAAAAAUACACUUAAAUACAAAAGCACUUAACUCUGGGACAUUGGAUCUUUGUGGUUGGAGUAAAAGAACAGACCCAGAAACCUGCCAUAGGGUAGGGCGGAGAAGUGGUCUUUGGGUUGGCUUUUUCCCCCGUCUUCAACCAGCUCCCCUCCCUUGGACCUGAGUGCUUUAAAAUUCGCGGGCACGCCUUGCGCAGGCGCAGUACUGCUUGCAUCUUUACUACGCAUGCGAAGUGACGUUAGGAUGGUGGUGUUGCCGUCUGUGGUGGUUCCCACCAGCAGGGACAAAACCUUGCUGGGUUGGGAGCCUAGCUCUGCACACACGACCGAGCCCUCCCAUGGAAACAGGGCCCAGCAUAAAGGAAUGGAUGGAGAAUGUCAUCUCGUCGCUACCUGGGAGGUCGGAGCCAUGCCUUAGUGCCUCAUUCACCUGGAGGGACCGUAGUCGGAGGCCCCAACUGACUUUAAGACUGAACUCAAGCGUCACCUCUCAAGGACCCUUUGCUGUGUCGCCCAGAAUGAGGACUCCUCCCUUCUGCUCCCAAGCCACCUCUGAGCCUCCAGGCAGGUGAUACUGGGAUCACCAUUUGCUCAUCUACCUCCACGAGACCGGACCUCCUGGAGUGCAGUGGAUCCCACUGCCCUAGUCCUGGGAUUCAACUCAGGACCCGAGCUUAUCUCUGUGUUUUAGAUGAGGAACCGGCUCAGAAAUGAUCAGCAACUUACCUACAAUCCUCUCAGACCAUCAGUACCAGGAAGGUAUGGUCUGAAUACUCUCACCCCAUGUUGAAACUUAAUCACAAACGUGGCGGUAUUAGGAAGCGGGCCUUGGAAGGUGAUCGGAGCCCUUGGAAAAGAGAAUGUAGAGAGCCCUUUCAUCCUGUCUGUUGUGUAAGGACACAGCAAGAAGGUGCCAUCUAUGAACCAAGAACUGGCCCUCAACAGACACCAGAUCUGCCAGAGCCUCCAUCUUGGAUUUCUCAGCCUCCAGAGCUGUGAGAAAUAAACAUCUGUGGCCUAUAAGCCACAUGGUGUGUGGUAUUCUGUUAUUGCAAUCCACAUGAUUGAAGACACAACCUCUGUAGCCACGAGGACAGGACAAUGUUAUCUGAAAUUCGGGCACAGUCUUUCAGGAGAGCUCCAGCAUCCUCCCUGUGGAAUGAUGCUCAUGACAACACUCUUGUGGGGUCAUUGCAAGGCUUAGAUUAGAUCAUGUUGACAAAGUUCUCCGGGCACACACACAAAAAAACAAAACAAAAAACCAAAAGUGGACAAAGUUCCCAGCUCAACAUGGCGCAGGGAAGGUGCACAAUGCACAGGAAACCUCCCAGAGUGACACAUGCCUGAAAGUACCUGUUAUGGCUGUGUCUGGCUGUUCCCCCAAAGCCUCAUUUGGUCAUAGGUGGGGCUUUUUCAGAGGUGGCUGGAUCUAGUGUGUGAUUGAUUCACAAUGCAGAGCUAGGAUUAAGGGCGCUGGGAUUAAGGUGUGUGAUUACUAAAUCAGUCCACUGAUUGGU